This 272-nucleotide ribosomal RNA is filed under the name uncultured bacterium. RNAcentral's name for it is "partial 16S ribosomal RNA". It matches the Rfam family "Bacterial small subunit ribosomal RNA", at positions 335 to 600 of the family's 1533-position model. The record is from RNAcentral.
GUCCUACGGGACGCAGCAGUAGGGAAUCUUCCACAAUGGACGAAAGUCUGCUGGAGCAACGCCGCGUGAGUGAAGAAGGGUUUCGGCUCGUAAAGCUCUGUUGGUAGGGAAGAAAGAUAGAGGUAGUAACUGGCCUUUAUUUGACGGUAAUUACUUAGAAAGUCACGGCUAACUACGUGCCAGCAGCCGCGGUAAUACGUAGGUGGCAAGCGUUAUCAGGAUUUAUUGGGCGUAAAGCGAGCGCAGGCGGUUGCUUAGGUCUGAUGUGAAAG